Molecule: long non-coding RNA, 936 nt
Organism: Helianthus annuus (common sunflower)
Lineage: Eukaryota; Viridiplantae; Streptophyta; Magnoliopsida; Asterales; Asteraceae
Exons: 3
Source: RefSeq, a predicted model, not a curated record
GUAUUGUGCUAUGGGGCUUCGUUGGGUUGAAUUGGAUUUUUAUGGCUUGCUUCCGCCUCUAUUUUAAGAGUUGCAUAUGGUAGAGUGCGUAUCAAAAGUCUGGCACGUUGUGAGGCUUACACACAUAAUCCACGACUUAAAAAAUGUUCCUCAUUGUAUAUAUGGUCUUAGCUCUUCUCAAAUGGACAUGUCAUGACAGAAGAUAACCCAAUAAGUUAGCAAGCAUAAAAAGUGCCACAUAGUUCUUCUUGAUUUGCAGCUUCUUUUAAUCAAAGUACUGGAAUUGUGGUUCUUAGUUGGUUAAUGUUUAUUAUUUACUUGUGUUAAUAUACUCUUUUUUGUAGGAAACGGUCACGUAAUUACUUGAAUCAUGCAGAAAUUUGGGGUUUACCUGAAUGAAUGAUAUGGGUCCUGUAAAAUACUAUUUUAAUUGUGAGCAUGUAUCGUGGUGGACGUAGAGCAACUAGAAGACCUAGAAGUGCUCCACCCGAUUUGCUACUGUUGAGUGAGAUAUCACUAUGAUGUGCCAGAUCGGAGACUUGCUCAACAUAUUGACAAAUGAAACGAAAACGUGUGGUUAAAAAUCAAAUAAGCUCCAGAAAAGGUGAAAGAUACCAUUUGCCUAUGAAUUAGCAAAAUGGUUAGGUGUCAGAACUCCACAAGUUACUAUACCUUCAACUUUCUUUUCACCAGAUUUAUGGUCCCCGCAAACAUCAUACAUUCUUAUUGUUUUGUAACUUUUGCAGGCUAGAGUCAUUCACAAUUGUAGUCCUGAGUGGUUAAAACACAAAUUGUCAUUAUUUGUGAAAUAAAAUAAAAACCAAACUGAGAGACCAUGCUACUUUUAUUAGUCAAAUUGUCAUUAUUUGUGUGAACGAGGCACCAUGGUAUUAUUAUUUUUAGGGCUAGCGAGCUGCUUAUUUGUUGGAUCGGUAG